This 322-nucleotide ribosomal RNA is filed under the name uncultured Pseudomonadota bacterium. Its description in RNAcentral is "bacterial SSU rRNA". It matches the Rfam family "Bacterial small subunit ribosomal RNA", at positions 30 to 351 of the family's 1533-position model. Lineage: Bacteria; Pseudomonadati; Pseudomonadota. The record is from RNAcentral.
AUUGAACGCUGGCGGAAUGCUUUACACAUGCAAGUCGAACGGCAGCACGGACUUCGGUCUGGUGGCGAGUGGCGAACGGGUGAGUAAUGUAUCGGAACGUAUCCAAUAAUGGGGGGAUAACGAGUCGAAAGAUUCGCUAAUACCGCAUACGCCCUACGGGGGAAAGCAGGGGAUCUUCGGACCUCGCGCUAUGAGAUGAGCCUGCGUUAGAUUAGCUAGUUGGUAGGGUAAAGGCCUACCAAGGCGACGAUCUAUAGCUGGUCUGAGAGGACGAUCAGCCACACUGGGACUGAGACACGGCCCAGACUCCUACGGGUGGCUG